RNAcentral lists this ribosomal RNA (448 nucleotides) under Bacillus sp. R-26298. RNAcentral describes it as "bacterial SSU rRNA". It matches the Rfam family "Bacterial small subunit ribosomal RNA", at positions 28 to 464 of the family's 1533-position model. The record is from RNAcentral. Lineage: Bacteria; Bacillati; Bacillota; Bacilli; Caryophanales; Bacillaceae.
GAYGAACGCUGGCGGCGUGCCUAAUACAUGCAAGUCGAGCGAAUGGAUUAAGAGCUUGCUCUUAUGAAGUUAGCGGCGGACGGGUGAGUAACACGUGGGUAACCUGCCCAUAAGACUGGGAUAACUCCGGGAAACCGGGGCUAAUACCGGAUAAYAUUUUGAACYGCAUGGUUCGAAAUUGAAAGGCGGCUUCGGCUGUCACUUAUGGAUGGACCCGCGUCGCAUUAGCUAGUUGGUGAGGUAACGGCUCACCAAGGCAACGAUGCGUAGCCGACCUGAGAGGGUGAUCGGCCACACUGGGACUGAGACACGGCCCAGACUCCUACGGGAGGCAGCAGUAGGGAAUCUUCCGCAAUGGACGAAAGUCUGACGGAGCAACGCCGCGUGAGUGAUGAAGGCUUUCGGGUCGUAAAACUCUGUUGUUAGGGAAGAACAAGUGCUAGUUGAA